This 467-nucleotide ribosomal RNA is filed under the name uncultured bacterium. RNAcentral's name for it is "partial 16S ribosomal RNA". It matches the Rfam family "Bacterial small subunit ribosomal RNA", at positions 28 to 507 of the family's 1533-position model. The record is from RNAcentral.
GACGAACGCUGGCGGCGUGCUUAACACAUGCAAGUCGAACGGAAAGGCCUCUUUCGGGGGGUACUCGAGUGGCGAACGGGUGAGUAACACGUGAGUAACCUGCCCUUGACUUUGGGAUAACUUCAGGAAACUGGGGCUAAUACCGGAUAGGAGCUCCUGCUGCAUGGUGGGGGUUGGAAAGUUUCUGCGGUUGGGGAUGGACUCGCGGCUUAUCAGCUUGUUGGUGGGGUAGUGGCUUACCAAGGCUUUGACGGGUAGCCGGCCUGAGAGGGUGACCGGCCACAGUGGGACUGAGAUACGGCCCAGACUCCUACGGGAGGCAGCAGUGGGGAAUAUUGCACAAUGGGUGGAAGCCUGAUGCAGCAACGCCGUGUGCGGGAUGACGGCCUUCGGGUUGUAAACCGCUUUCGCUCAUGACGAAGCUUUGUGUGACGGUAGUGGGUAAAGAAGCACCGGCUAACUACGUG